This 511-nucleotide ribosomal RNA is filed under the name uncultured bacterium. RNAcentral's name for it is "bacterial SSU rRNA". It matches the Rfam family "Bacterial small subunit ribosomal RNA", at positions 32 to 523 of the family's 1533-position model. The record is from RNAcentral.
AAUCAACGCUGGCGGCGUGCCUAACACAUGCAAGCCGAACGCGAAAGGGGCUUCGGCCCUGAGUAGAGUGGCGAACGGGUGAGUAACACGUGGGUGACCUACCUUCGAAUGGGGGAUAACGUCCCGAAAGGGACGCUAAUACCGCAUAACAUCCUGCCUUUGAACAGGUGGAGAUCAAAGCUGGGGAUCGCAAGACCCGGCGUUUGAAGAGGGGCCCGCGUCCGAUUAGCUAGUUGGUGAGGUAAUGGCUCACCAAGGCGACGAUCGGUAACCGGCCUGAGAGGGCGGACGGUCACACUGGGACUGAGACACGGCCCAGACUCCUACGGGAGGCAGCAGUGGGGAAUUGUUCACAAUGGGCGCAAGCCUGAUGACGCAACGCCGCGUGGAGGAUGAAGGUCUUCGGAUUGUAAACUCUGUUGCCCGGGACGAAAGCUUCGACCUAAUACGUCGAAGUCUGACGGUACCGGGUGAGGAAGCCCGGCUAACUCUGUGCCAGCAGCCGCAGUAA